Molecule: ribosomal RNA, 468 nt
Filed under: uncultured bacterium
Lineage: Bacteria
Description: partial 16S ribosomal RNA
Rfam family: Bacterial small subunit ribosomal RNA
Source: RNAcentral
GACGAACGCUGGCGGCGUGCUUAACACAUGCAAGUCGAACGGAAAGGCCCUGCUUUUGUGGGGUGCUCGAGUGGCGAACGGGUGAGUAACACGUGAGUAACCUGCCCUUGACUUUGGGAUAACUUCAGGAAAAUGGGGAUAAUACCGGAUAGGAGCUCCUGAUGCAUGGUGGGGGUUGGAAAGUUUCGGCGGUUGGGGAUGGACUCGCGGCUUAUCAGCUUGUUGGUGGGGUAGUGGCUUACCAAGGCUUUGACGGGUAGGCGGCCUGAGAGGGUGACCGGCCACAUUGGGACUGAGAGACGGCCCAGACUCCUACGGGCGGCAGCAGGGGGGAAUAUUGCAGAAUGGGCGGAAGCCAGAUGCAGCAACGCCGCGUGCGUGAUGACGUCCUUUGGGUUGUAAACCGCUUUCGAAUUUAACGAAGAGUGAGUGACGGUAAUGGGUAAAGAAGCACCGGCUAACUACGUG